Molecule: antisense RNA, 75 nt
Filed under: Streptomyces olindensis
Lineage: Bacteria; Bacillati; Actinomycetota; Actinomycetes; Kitasatosporales; Streptomycetaceae
Description: Aspks sRNA
Rfam family: ASpks TB sRNA
Source: RNAcentral
CUUCACCGAGCCCAGCCACAGGGGCCCUUCCGAGCCGCGGCCGCGGCCGUAGGUGGCGAGCAGCGCCUGCGCCUC